AGUGGACGCUGGCGGUAGGCCUAACGCAUGCAAGUCGAACGGCAGCACAGUAAGAGCUUGCUCUUACGGGUGGCGAGUGGCGGACGGGUGAGGAAUACAUCGGAAUCUACUUUUUCGUGGGGGAUAACGUAGGGAAACUUACGCUAAUACCGCAUACGACCUACGGGUGAAAGCAGGGGAUCUUCGGACCUUGCGCGAUUGAAUGAGCCGAUGUCGGAUUAGCUAGUUGGCGGGGUAAAGGCCCACCAAGGCGACGAUCCGUAGCUGGUCUGAGAGGAUGAUCAGCCACACUGGAACUGAGACACGGUCCAGACUCCUACGGGAGGCAGCAGUGGGGAAUAUUGGACAAUGGGCGCAAGCCUGAUCCAGCCAUACCGCGUGGGUGAAGAAGGCCUUCGGGUUGUAAAGCCCUUUUGUUGGGAAAGAAAAGCAGCAGGUUAAUACCCCGCUGUUCUGACGGUACCCAAAGAAUAAGCACCGGCUAACUUCGUG
Molecule: ribosomal RNA, 492 nt
Filed under: uncultured bacterium
Lineage: Bacteria
Description: partial 16S ribosomal RNA
Rfam family: Bacterial small subunit ribosomal RNA
Source: RNAcentral